GCUCAGGAUGAACGCUAGCGGCAGGCUUAACACAUGCAAGUCGAGGGGUAUAGUUUUUCGGAACUAGAGACCGGCGCACGGGUGCGUAACGCGUAUGCAAUCUACCUUUUACAGAGGGAUAGCCCAGAGAAAUUUGGAUUAAUACCUCAUAGCAUAGCAGUUUCGCAUGAAGCAGCUAUUAAAGUUCCAACGGUAAAAGAUGAGCAUGCGUCCCAUUAGCUAGAUGGUAAGGUAACGGCUUACCAUGGCAACGAUGGGUAGGGGUCCUGAGAGGGAGAUCCCCCACACUGGUACUGAGACACGGACCAGACUCCUACGGGAGGCAGCAGUGAGGAAUAUUGGUCAAUGGGCGCAAGCCUGAACCAGCCAUGCCGCGUGCAGGAUGACGGUCCUAUGGAUUGUAAACUGCUUUUGUACGAGAAGAAACAACAUUACGUGUAAUGUCUUGACGGUAUCGUAAGAAUAAGGAUCGGCUAACUCCGUGCCAGCAGCCGCGGUAAUACGGAGGAUCCAAGCGUUAUCCGGAAUCAUUGGGUUUAAAGGGUCCGUAGGCGGUUUAGUAAGUCAGUGGUGAAAGCCCAUCGCUCAACGGUGGAACGGCCAUUGAUACUGCUAGACUUGAAUUAUUAGGAAGUAACUAGAAUAUGUAGUGUAGCGGUGAAAUGCUUAGAGAUUACAUGGAAUACCAAUUGCGAAGGCA
RNAcentral lists this ribosomal RNA (700 nucleotides) under uncultured bacterium. Its description in RNAcentral is "bacterial SSU rRNA". It matches the Rfam family "Bacterial small subunit ribosomal RNA", at positions 22 to 723 of the family's 1533-position model. The record is from RNAcentral.